CCCUGGCUGGCUCAGUUGGUAGAGCGUGACUCUUGAUCUCAAGGUUGUGAGUUCAAAUCCCAUGUUGGGUG
Molecule: transfer RNA, 71 nt
Filed under: Felis catus (domestic cat)
Lineage: Eukaryota; Metazoa; Chordata; Mammalia; Carnivora; Felidae
Also listed under: 2 other names
Rfam family: tRNA
About the family: Transfer RNA (tRNA) molecules are approximately 80 nucleotides in length.
Source: Rfam by way of RNAcentral